UACGGAGGGUGCAAGCGUUGUUCGGAUUUAUUGGGCGUAAAGCGCGUGUAGGCGGUUUCUUAAGUCUGAUGAAAGCCCCGGGCUCAACCCGGGAAGUGCAUUGGAUACUGGGAGACUUGAAUACGGGAGAGGGUAGUGGAAUUCCUAGUGUAGGAGUGAAAUCCGUAGAUAUUAGGAGGAACACCGGUGGCGAAGGCGGCUACCUGGACCGAUAUUGACGCUGAGACGCGAAAGCGUGGGGAGCAAACAGG
Molecule: ribosomal RNA, 251 nt
Filed under: uncultured bacterium
Lineage: Bacteria
Description: partial 16S ribosomal RNA
Rfam family: Bacterial small subunit ribosomal RNA
Source: RNAcentral